CCUACGGGCGGCAGCAGUGAGGAAUAUUGGUCAAUGGACGAGAGUCUGAACCAGCCAAGUAGCGUGAAGGAUGACUGCCCUAUGGGUUGUAAACUUCUUUUAUAAAGGAAUAAAACGAGGCACGUGUGCCUUUUUGCAUGUACUUUAUGAAUAAGGAUCGGCUAACUCCGUGCCAGCAGCCGCGGUAAUACGGAGGCUCCGAGCGUUAUCCGGAUUUAUUGGGGUUAAAGGGAGCGUAGAUGGGUUGUUAAGUCAGUUGUGAAAGUUUGCGGCUCAACCGUAAAAUUGCAAUUGAUACUGGCAGUCGUGAGUACAGUUGAGGUAAGCGGAAUUCGUGGUGUAGCGGUGAAAUGCUUAGAUAUCACGAAGAACCCCGAUUGCGAAGGCAGCUUACUAAACUGUGACUGACAUUGAUGCUCGAAAGUGUGGGUAUCAAACAGGAUUAGAUACCCCAGUAGUC
This 460-nucleotide ribosomal RNA is filed under the name uncultured bacterium. RNAcentral's name for it is "partial 16S ribosomal RNA". It matches the Rfam family "Bacterial small subunit ribosomal RNA", at positions 338 to 795 of the family's 1533-position model. The record is from RNAcentral.